GGUCUUCCAUGCAGUCGAGCGAGGCGGGUAGCAAUACCCAGUCGAGCGGCGAACGGGUGAGUAACGCGUGGAUUAUCUACCCUGAGGUGGGGGAUAACCCGGCGAAAGCCGGGCUAAUACCGCAUAACAUCGAAAGAUCAAAGGGGGAGCAAUCUCCCGCCAUUGGAGGAGUCCGCGUCCGAUUAGCUAGUUGGUAGGGUAAUGGCCUACCAAGGCGACGAUCGGUAGCCGGCCUGAGAGGGUGAUCGGCCACACUGGAACUGAGACACGGUCCAGACUCCUACGGGAGGCAGCAGUGGGGAAUUUUGCGCAAUGGGCGAAAGCCUGACGCAGCAACGCCGCGUGGAGGAUGACGGUCCUUGGAUCGUAAACUCCUGUCAGCAGGGAAAAAGGGGACCGGGCUCAUACCCCGGUUCAUUGAUUGUACCUGCAGAGGAAGCCCCGGCUAACUCUGUGCCAGCAGCCGCGGUAAUGCAGAGGGGGCAAGCGUUAUUCGGAAUUAUUGGGCGUAAAGGGCGCGUAGGCGGCUUGACAAGUGGAAGGUGAAAUCCCUCGGCUUAACCGAGGAACUGCCCUCCAAACUGUUUUGCUUGAGGCCGGGAGAGGUGAGUGGAAUUCCCAGUGUAGCGGUGAAAUGCGUAGAUAUUGGGAGGAACACCAGUGGCGAAAGGCGGCUCACUGGACCGG
RNAcentral lists this ribosomal RNA (687 nucleotides) under uncultured bacterium. RNAcentral's name for it is "bacterial SSU rRNA". It matches the Rfam family "Bacterial small subunit ribosomal RNA", at positions 46 to 737 of the family's 1533-position model. The record is from RNAcentral.